GGGAUUGCCUCAGUAACGGCGAGUGAAGCGGCAACAGCUCAAAUUUGAAAUCUGGCCCUUUCAGGGUCCGAGUUGUAAUUUGUAGAGGAUGUUUCGGCGAGUGCUCCCGUCUAAGUUCCUUGGAACAGGACGUCAUAGAGGGUGAGAAUCCCGUAUGUGAUGGGUUGCGCGAGCCAUGUGAAACUCCUUCGACGAGUCGAGUUGUUUGGGAAUGCAGCUCUAAAUGGGAGGUAAAUUUCUUCUAAAGCUAAAUACCGGCCAGAGACCGAUAGCGCACAAGUAGAGUGAUCGAAAGAUGAAAAGCACUUUGGAAAGAGAGUUAAAAAGUACGUGAAAUUGUUGAAAGGGAAGCGCUUGCAACCAGACUUGCUCGCAGUUGCUCAACCCGCCUCCUGGUGGGUGUACUCUUCUGCGGUCAGGCCAGCAUCAGUUCGGGCGGUCGGAUAAAGGCGUCGGGAAUGUAGCUCCCCUCGGGGAGUGUUAUAGCCCGGCGUGGCAUGCGACCUGUCCGGACUGAGGAUCUCGCUUCGGCUAGGAUGCUGGCGUAAUGGUUGUAAGCGGCCCGUCUUGAAACACGGACCAAGGAGUCUAACAUCUAUGCGAGUGUUUGGGUGUCAAACCCAUGCGCGUAAUGAAAGUGAACGGAGGUGGGAACCCGCGAGGGCGCACCAUCGACCGAUCCUGAUGUCUUCGGAUGGAUUUGAGUAUGAGCAUAGCUGUUGGGACCCGAAAGAUGGUGAACUAUGCCUGAAUAGGGUGAAGUCAGAGGAAACUCUGAUGGAGGCUCGCAGCGGUUCUGACGUGCAAAUCGAUCGUCAAAUUUGGGUAUAGGGGCG
Molecule: ribosomal RNA, 836 nt
Filed under: Septorioides pini-thunbergii
Lineage: Eukaryota; Fungi; Ascomycota; Dothideomycetes; Botryosphaeriales; Septorioideaceae
Description: eukaryotic LSU rRNA
Rfam family: Eukaryotic large subunit ribosomal RNA
Source: RNAcentral